GAGCCUGUAGCUUAGUGGUUACGAAAGCCUCAGUAGCAUCCGAGGUCCUGGGUUCGAUUCUCGGUGGGAGCA
This is a non-coding RNA of Eragrostis curvula (weeping love grass), 72 nucleotides long. The record is from the annotation of a GenBank genome assembly. NCBI's taxonomy places the organism in Eukaryota, Viridiplantae, Streptophyta, Magnoliopsida, Poales, Poaceae.